GCAGCUCAUCCGAUCGACUUCCAUUCCUGUCCUGCCUGGACCGGUGAUUCAACUCUUUCAGACCCUCCCGCCCUACCUCGCGGAAAAGAUGAGUACUAGACUGGUAAGAGGGGACCUUGCAAAACAAAAUUCCUCCCUUGUCCGAUCAACCAUCUCCACCUCCCCCACCACCGUAUCCUUAGCAGUCGAGUAAAGACCUGAACCCGCUGACGGAAGUGAUCGAUUAUCCACUGGUGGGUGAGCGAAGAAAGAGAUGACUUUUAGGGUAGAGAUAGAAGGCGCUUUUAGAAUGAGAUAGCUCUUUGCUUCUUCUUCCCUUGAGGUUUAGGACUGGCUAUGAACUUCCUUACCUCACAGUGAGUGUACUUAGGACUCACCGCUUCUUGUUUUUAGUUGGAUGUAGCUAGGGUAGGUGGAUUCUGAAUAGAUAAACCCGAGACUUCUUCCCGUAGGCAGAUAGAAGUAUUCGAUGGUAGCUCUCUUCCUUUGAUCUCUUUUCUACGCUCGUUCCUGCCAGAAAGAAGGAUGGCUUCGAGUAGUGCUGUGAUCUGAAGUAGGCGCAUUGACAGUGUUCCUUCACCAGAUGAUGUACCCGAUUUACGGCACCUGGUUCGUCAGUGUUUUCACCCUCUUCCGACUGAAAAUCACAUCUACUAUUAGAUUGAGAUAUAGAAUAGAUAGAAUUCGACAUCUCUAUUAUACGAAAAGACUUGGUCUAGAAUCUUUGUUAUGUUAUUACUAGGAAGGCGGGCUAUUGAUCUAUUUAGGAAGUGGGCUCAAUACUGAGAUAUCCUCAACUUAUACGUUGGUCGAUAGAAUUUGUGCUAAUCUAGAGCUGAGGAAGAGCAAGAAAAGAGGAUUGAGGGCAAAGGCAGAAGGAUUUCAUUACUCUGGCUGCCGAAAGUGGUAGACCUUCUUCAUUUCUUCACCAUUGCCAAGUCCCCCCGGCGAAUGCACGGGUCAUAUGGUGCAUCACAGGGGCCUGGAGAACUGGUAAAAGGAAUCGUUUCGUUAGAGAAGACUGUGUCUGAGCAAGCAAUUUCCACAAUGUACCCUGGGAAGGUUGGAGAGGUCGAGUCGCGAAAGCACUCAACUGACGAGGAGAUUGAAUCCGCGAAACCUUUUAUUAAAUAGGAUGCUUCUCCGCGCCAGGAUAUGAAUGAAUAAGUUUCCUACAGAAAGAAGUUCCUAAUCUCUGCCAUUGCAAAACCCCGACAUAUUGGUCUCAAUCCUAAUCCGUCCCGCCUCCCGGCAAGGACAAGAAGUGAACGCCAAAAGGUCAGAUAGUCUAAAAGGGAGGACUGCUCAGCUACUUAAUAUGGGCCCCGAUGACACAAACAACGUCAUCACCAAAGAUCACAUAAGCCCGCUCUGCUGUCAGGCUUAGAAAGUGCAGACUGAGAUGCAAGGAGAAGAGGUCAAGAGAGGCGUGGUAGCACAAAAGCAGUCCUAUAUAAUGAAACCUAGUCUGCUGCUCGCUUGUCAUGAGCGGCGGUGGGCGCACUGUAGACAGCUUAUGACCCACAGGGUCGAAUUCGCCAAAGCGGAGGCCAAUAAUGGGCCAAACAGCGUCAUCAUCAGAUGAGAAAUCACGAUUAGGGGCCGCUGAUCAAAGGCAGGCAUGGGAUCAAGACUAAACCAAUUUGUUCAGGCCCACCACCAAAUGGUUGAAGGGGUUACCCCGUUCGGAGAGACAGAGAUAUACAAGAAUCAGAGGAAGCGAGCCUUAAGCAGUGAUUGAUAGGCUCCCAUCCCUUUCUGCUAGCCCGCGUGGAAAGCGAAGCUAACCUGACGGACUGCCC
Molecule: long non-coding RNA, 1802 nt
Filed under: Ricinus communis (castor bean)
Lineage: Eukaryota; Viridiplantae; Streptophyta; Magnoliopsida; Malpighiales; Euphorbiaceae
Description: long non-coding RNA (RCOM_LNC003428)
Source: RNAcentral